This 1119-nucleotide long non-coding RNA is filed under the name Ananas comosus (pineapple). Its description in RNAcentral is "long non-coding RNA (ACOM_LNC044875)". The record is from RNAcentral. Lineage: Eukaryota; Viridiplantae; Streptophyta; Magnoliopsida; Poales; Bromeliaceae.
AUUAAUAUAAAUAUAAAUUUUCACUUUAAAAUUUAAAAUUUUUUAAAAAUUAUAUAUUUAAAUUUUAAAAUUAAUAUUUAUUUUUAAAAAUUUAAAAUUUAAAAUUUAAAAUUAUUAUUUUUAAUUAUUUAAAUUUUAAAUUUGAUAUUUUAUAUUUGUAACUUUAAAUUUUUUAAUUUGAGAUUUGAAAAUAUAGAUUUUAAUUUUAAAUUUUAAAUUAUUAUUUUUAAUUAUUUAAAUUUUAAAUUUAAAUUCAAAUAUAAAAAUUAGUGCAAAAUCAUUAUUUUCUAUUUAUAAUAACCUAUUAUCUUUCUUAAUCCAUUUACUCCAACCAAACACUUUUUAUUUAUAUCUGAACUAAAUCUAAUUCUCAACCAAACAAAAAAUUACUCUAAACCCAAUUCUCAAUCAAACAAAAAAUUACUCUAAACCCACCUUAACCCUGAACUUAACCCCUACCCCUGAAAUAACUAAUUUUUACUUAACCCCGAACCAAACGAAACCUAGUGCUUUAUAUUCUAACUUAUAUGUAGAGAGAGAGAGAGAGAGAGAGAGAGAGAGAGUUACGCUGCUAUACAAUUGAUAGCAUCAAGCGCUCAGUGCUAUCGAGUUUUUUCUUAUAAGAUCUAUCAAUUUGAUCAUUUUCAUUCGUUAGAUCAUAUUAUUCAACCAACCACCCACUCAACCCUAAGGGACCACUAUCAUUCUAUCCACACAUCCUUUCAUCCGAGAAUCGAAAACCUAAUAGUACCAAUAACUUUAAUAUUUGUAGGAAGUCAUUCAAAUUUGACCGUUUAUUUUAUGCAUGCUUGCUGAACUUUAAUAUAAUUUCAAAAAUUUAUAAAAUUUAUUUUUUAUAAAUUUCAAAUAAUUUAUAUUAUAUUUAACGGUAUGAAUUGUCAAUUCGAAAAUUCCAUCAUAAAAACUAAUUUAGUUGAGCCAGAAUGCUAUUAGUAGUAAAUGAGCUUCGUUGACAUAUAUUUAUUUUCAAUGAUGGAGCCUUCAAAUUUACGAUCGGUUGGAAUAUCUAAAAAUUAAAUUUUAUACUUUUUCGAUAUUAUUCUCUUAUCAGUUAAAUGGCUAAUAUAGUAUAUAUAUAUUUUUUUAGAGAGAAAGAGG